This 434-nucleotide ribosomal RNA is filed under the name uncultured bacterium. RNAcentral describes it as "bacterial SSU rRNA". It matches the Rfam family "Bacterial small subunit ribosomal RNA", at positions 9 to 422 of the family's 1533-position model. The record is from RNAcentral.
GAGUUUGAUCCUGGCUCAGGAUGAACGCUGGCGGCGCGCCUAACACAUGCAAGUCGAACGGAGUUACUCUGAAUGAAGUUUUCGGAUGGAUUUUGGAUUAACUUAGUGGCGAACGGGUGAGUAACACGUAGGUAACCUGCCUUGUAGAGGGGGAUAGCCUUCCGAAAGGAAGAUUAAUACCGCAUAACAUCUUUUAUCGCAUGGUAGAAAGAUCAAAGGAGCAAUCCGCUACAAGAUGGACCCGCGGCGCAUUAGCUAGUUGGUGAGGUAACGGCUCACCAAGGCGACGAUGCGUAGCCGACCUGAGAGGGUGAUCGGCCACAUUGGAACUGAGACACGGUCCAGACUCCUACGGGAGGCAGCAGUGGGGAAUAUUGCGCAAGUGGGGGAAACCCUGACGCAGCAACGCCGCGUGAAUGAAGAAGGCCUUAGGG